RNAcentral lists this long non-coding RNA (227 nucleotides) under Elaeis guineensis (African oil palm). RNAcentral's name for it is "long non-coding RNA (EGUI_LNC008839)". Lineage: Eukaryota; Viridiplantae; Streptophyta; Magnoliopsida; Arecales; Arecaceae. The record is from RNAcentral.
GCACACACCAUGGAUCUCUCUGUCCAUGGAACUGGGCCUUUUAAAGGCUUAAAAACCCAGCUAAUAUCGGAAACACACUUCUGAUCGGACUUCUGCAACUUCUCGACUAUCUGAUCUGCAUCAAAUGAUCAAAACAACGCGUUGGAUCAUGUCCAAAAUGAAUCAUAAAAGCUCUCAACCAUUGGAUCAUCAUUGGGAGAUCAAUCCAUCAUCUGAUUGCGCCUUUG